This 399-nucleotide long non-coding RNA is filed under the name Lathyrus oleraceus (garden pea). Its description in RNAcentral is "Pisum sativum (pea) long non-coding RNA (PSAT_LNC025879)". Lineage: Eukaryota; Viridiplantae; Streptophyta; Magnoliopsida; Fabales; Fabaceae. The record is from RNAcentral.
UCUGUCUAGUGAUGCCAAUUUUUUCUGGGGAAUAACUGGUUUUUUGCUGGGGGAAUAGAAUUAGCAACCGGAUUCAUUGGAAAGCAUGGUUAGACCUUCUCCUCGAUCCUGAAGUCUUUUAGUAACCGUUAUUGCUAUUUUAUGCAUGUAUUUUCGGUAAACAUCAAUCAUAUUCAAAUGCAUAUAUUAAUUCGAAUCAAAUCAAUGGACGUUUAUGCAAACAAAACAGAGAGAGUAAAAUAAAAGCAUAAAAUUGUAUCGAUUUUGAAAGAGGGCCUAUAAACAGGCAAUUUGAGUACAAGGAGACAAAAAUCCUAGUAAGAGGAAAUUGUCCAGAAAACAAAGAGAAAGCUAUGCAGAAAAAGUCCCAUUGAUUUUAAUUCCACUACUGUCAUUAUG